RNAcentral lists this long non-coding RNA (204 nucleotides) under Penaeus japonicus. Its description in RNAcentral is "uncharacterized LOC122264862". The record is from RNAcentral. Lineage: Eukaryota; Metazoa; Arthropoda; Malacostraca; Decapoda; Penaeidae.
GUGCCAGUGAGAGUCUGGUGGUGGUGCCAAACACAGGUGUCAACAGCUGCUCUGUAUCGACACUAUACCGGACCAAGGAGAGCUGUUGGGAGCGAGAUGGCUCGAGGUCGCGCAUGGGUGAUGGUGCUCCUGGUGACCGCGACGGCUCGCUGGGUUGAAGCCGGACUAAGCAGUAUGUUGAAUAUAGUGUUCUCCCGACGCACA